Long non-coding RNA from Daucus carota subsp. sativus, 1795 nucleotides. RefSeq lists it as uncharacterized. The record is from RefSeq and is a predicted model, not a curated record. Lineage: Eukaryota; Viridiplantae; Streptophyta; Magnoliopsida; Apiales; Apiaceae. The transcript is spliced from 2 exons.
AUUAAGAAAGAAUAAGGUGAAACUGAGAAAAAUUGUAUCUUUUCAAUCUAAUGCAAAUGAAACAUAAGAGUUGUAUAUAUGUUUGGUAAUCUUCCAUCACUUGUAUUAUUUCCGCCAAUCUCAAAAUAGAUACGUAACGUUGAGAAAUGUAAGCUUAAUGAAGAUUUGACAAGUAUUUGACAAGAAAUGAAGAUGGUGUGUCAAUGGCACCUCUUUCCCUCAUGUUCCAGGAUAAGGUUUUCAUUGAGAGCUGAUGUUGUUUUUCAUCUCAAAGCCUGAUGUCUUCAAAAGCCCAAAGUCUGAGACGUAUAUUAUAUUUGGAGAGGUGAAGAUACAAGGCUAAAGCUCUCAGUUGCAAACAAGGAUUUUGGUGACAUAGUCAGUGCUAUCAAGCUGGUAAUGACACAAGCAGGGGUAUUAAGAAACAAGGCCAUCGCUGCUCUCACGACCCAUGAUGGUGACAUAGUCAGUGCUAUAAUGGAGCUCACUGCCCAGGUGAGAUUUUGGUCAUUUCGGAAACAAUUGGUCACUUGGGAUGAGUUUUUAAUGUAUGAACCACCUAUUAUUGAUUUUCAGUUCUUAUUGCAUGGCACAGUUUUCUGGUUUUGUUGGAUUUCAGUCAUUUCCAUAUCAAGAAUGCUUAGUGAUGCACCUAGGUUUUGUUACAUGUUACUUCCGAAUGCUCACAUUCUUGAGUCAAUUGUGCUGGUGCCUGGUAAUUAAUAUCACGGACUCUUAGAACAGAGAUUACGGCUCAUAUUCACAAAAUGUUUUUGCUUGCUCUUUAAAUCAGAUGACCGUGUUUUGUGAUGAUGAAAAGCAAAUAUUUGAUGAUAGAACAAUAAUUGAAGAUGUACAAUUUGGAUGAUAAAAUUACUUUGAACUCACAAUUUUUAGUAAGCAUAUAGUAUGUAAUAUGUGACAAUACUUAGUCUCCAUUUAGGAUACUUAGUCUCCAAUUAAGAUACACACGCAUCUGUCCAGGCCCCUUCGAAGCUCUAGGCAAGACAGUCGAACUUAUAAAAGUACAGUGGGAAUUGCUUAUAUGGAUCCCUCUUAAAACAUGAGAAAAUAUUAAACAGAAGACCAGGUACUCUCUCAAUUAAUGACCCUACAAUUUGUUCUAAUUUCCCCUGUGGCAGAGCCAGUGAGUACACCAAUCUGGCCCAUCCUCACCAUUGCAGCAGCAAACUUGCUUCUCCAGAGCGUGGGGUUCAUUGCAUUUUGAGCAACUUGUUUAGCUGUUGCUGCAUUUGUCAAGAGGGUUUGGUCUGAGGUAUGCAACCCUCGAUUAGCAAGAACAUCUGUGUAGUAAUCUACAUCAGUUGUUGCAGGGCUGGAAGGGUUUAUUGGUACCACCAAAUUAGCAUUUGUACUUCCCUCUGGACAUUGCUGCUUUAGCCGCCCUGCAUAUGACAAAUCUAGGCUCGGGUCCUGCACUGUUGUCGUGUUGUAACUGUACAGUCUGUUACUGAACGAAGGGCAAUGAGAGCGACCAAUGGUGUGUGCACCUAUGAUUCAUGAAACCUUAGUAUAUAUCUAAUGUUUUCCACCAUCUCUUUGUAAAAAUUGAUCAUGCCUAGCUAUUCAAUGCGAAAAUGCUUACCAGAUAAUGUAACCAUUUCUUGUUGUGUUAGUCCUUUGUUUGCAAAGGACUGAGUGAGUUGGUCGACGUCACUUGUUGGGGGCGGUAGGUUAGCAGAUGCCUCUGAAGCUCUUGAAAUUCUGCCAUCCUUUCUCCCAGCUGGUACAUCAUAGCCAAGUCCUCCCGUCUAUAAAAGUUUUAGAUUAUGUA